GUAUACUGUGCUAUGCUCACCUAGGAGUGUUAUAACUGGAUUUUUCUUUUCUUUUCUUUUCUUUUUGGUGUUAUCUUUUAAUCAUGUACCUUUUACUUUUUUUAUGUUGCUUUUAAAAAAUACAAGUAUGAGCCUAAUGGCUCUUGAACUCCAAUUGAGCAUAAAAACAAAGAUAUCUAUAUCUAUGUCUAACUCUGUCUAUCUAAAACUGGCCUCCCGUAGAUACUUUUUUCUUAUCCAGAUUUGGAUCUCUUGGUGAAAUUCCUGACUUGCUUGUGACCCUUGCAUUUUAGUACACCUGCUUUCAGAACCAGAAAUGUAAAUUGUUUUUCAAUCUAUGUCUCUAUCAGAAAGUGACAGACACUACUUGACCAACAUAAAAAUUGCCGUCACUAUACCUGUGUGUUCUUGGGUCUCAAAGGGAGUCUCUGAAUCCCUCACAGAGCUUCACUGUGUCCCUAUGUCACCCAACAUGUUGUUCUGAGCAUGUGCUCUGAGGUGGAAGCUCUUCUAGGUUCCAGAGUCAAGCAGUGAACUCAAAAGAUGAUCAGACACAGCCUGCUUGCUCCCAUUUUCCACAAUCACUAUCACAUUUUGUUUGUUUUCCUGUUGAAGAAGCUCUCUGCAGCCUCCCUUGCUCUCCAGGGGCAGAAAAGACCCUUAGUUUUUCCUCAGGGUCUUUGACCCUGGGCUCCACCAUCUACAAGCCAACCUAGACCCUGGCUUGAUUUUACCUCCAUUUCAAACAUGGAGAGCCCCCAUCCCCUUACUCCAUUGAGAACCCUUUCCAUAAUGUUCAGACUGUCUUCCAGGGAAUGGUAAACACAUGCACAUCUUUCCUAUCUGAAAAUCUGUGAGUGUUGAGCGUGCAGAAGUGUGUGUGUGUGUGUGUGUGUGUCCCUGUCUGGAUUCUGCACCCCUUUGAAGUUUUCCUCAGGUUUCUCCCUUCCCUUGACAGAGUUCUUGAAAAGAUGUCUGCAUGUGUGGUCUCUGCCUCCUUGCCUUCUGGUUACUUUUUGUCUCCCAGCUCUUCCCUUCUAUUUCUGCUAUAUCACUGAAAUUUCUCUAGGCAAAGAGUUUGUUUGUUAGUUUGUUUAUUUAUUUAUUUAUUUUGCUUGCUUGAAUCCCCUUUUCCAGUUUUUCCUCCUUUGCCAGCUCUUCUUCUGUCUUUUCCUCAUAUGCUGUUGUUCCCUUUCAUCUCCUUUAUCCUGCACCUGGUCCCUGGCUAAUUGAAUAAUGACAAUAAUGACUAUGAAUGCACCAACCUGCUCUCACUUUCCGUCUCAGACCGACCGAUCUACCUCUCACACUCCAGGAUAGUCCCCAGCCACUUUUUAAACAUCUCCAUUUGAAUAUCUUCAGACUUAACAUACCUCACAGUCAACACCAAUAUAUAUAUGGUACAAUUUUAAACCAAACUGUUUUUUUACGCCUAGAUUUUUUUUCCUAGCUAAUGGUUCCAGAAAUCAGGAGUUACACUUGACUCUUCUCUUCCCUUCUGUGCCUCAACCGUGUUUUGUCAACUCAGGUUAACUCUAUCCCUAUAGUUCCUUAAAAUCACCUGCCUGACCCCACUGACCCUGCAAGAUUAUCUUCUCAUUUCUAAUACGGAAAAAUUGGAGGUAUUUUGUUUUCUACAGUUUCAACAAUAUUGAGCCACAUGCAUCUCUCAAAUGGUCAUAUUCUUGUUUCUAUGCCUUUCUACUAGUUAGAACAACCUUUCUUUUUCUUUCUCUCUCUCUCUCUUUUUUUUUAAUUUGUCUCACCUAACAUGUGCUAAACAUUCUUCAAGACAGCACAGGGAUUACCCUGACUUCCUCCCUCUGCUCUGUACUUUAUACUUCCACCCCUUAAAGCUCCAUUUUAUAAGUCUGAAUUGAACAUGGAAUAUUCCAUUCAUUUGCGCCUCUGUUUCCUUAUCUGUAAAAUGAGGUUAAUAAUAGCAUCUAUCUUAUAAAAUUGUUAUGAGAGUUGAAUGACCAAAUACUUAUAGCCACUUGUAUCGUGCCUGUAAAAAUAGCAAGCACUUUGUAAAUGGUUGGCAAUGAAUAAAAUAAAACAUGGAGAUAAUUUAUGUUGGUGAUGAGAAACAGCCUUUGGAAUCCCAUAGACCUGUAUUUAAAUCCUGGAUCUUCCUUUUAGUAUCUUGAACCUUGAGCCAGUUACACAAACUUUUUGAAACUUUUCUAGUCUAUAAAAUGAUCAAAAUGCAUCUUAUGAGGUUCUCUAUGAAGAAGAGAUGAUGCCUAGGAGGUAUCAGCUCAGCUCUGGUCAUUCCUAUUCCACUAGCAUCUUCGGUUUAUCAGAGUCCCAGCAGUUAACACACUACAUCAUAACUAUGAUUUUAUUUAGUAGCAAAUUGUGUUAUUUGAUUUUCAUCUGUGCAGCUAAGGUCGAGUCUGUCAUGUAGGCAAAUGCUUACAAAGUUUUCUUGAAUAAACAUUUAACCACCAAGGCCUUGUCUCUUGAUUCCUGUGCUGCUCAAGAAUGAACAUUGUAUUUAUUCAUUCACUUUGUUUCCUCAUUUCCUAUUACCUCACCAUUUUUAAAAAGUCGUCUGUGGCUAAUACAUGUGAUUCUAACCUCUCCUAGGGACCAGAGUGCACCAUUCAUACUUUGACCAUUGCCCAU
This 2631-nucleotide long non-coding RNA is filed under the name Marmota monax (woodchuck). Lineage: Eukaryota; Metazoa; Chordata; Mammalia; Rodentia; Sciuridae. The record is from RNAcentral.